UGCCACAGCUAUAUCACCCUGAAGCCCAAGAGUGGUUAUCCACUGAAGCUAAGCAGGGCUGAGCCUGGUCAGUACCUGGAUGGGAGACCACAUGGGAAAACUAGUUUGCUGUUGCAA
This 117-nucleotide ribosomal RNA is filed under the name Danio rerio (zebrafish). The record is from RNAcentral. Lineage: Eukaryota; Metazoa; Chordata; Actinopteri; Cypriniformes; Danionidae.